This 185-nucleotide small RNA is filed under the name Chrysemys picta bellii (western painted turtle). RNAcentral describes it as "TUC338 (ENSCPBG00000026726.1)". Lineage: Eukaryota; Metazoa; Chordata; Testudines; Emydidae. The record is from RNAcentral.
UUGAUAACCCUGGAGACUGAAGUCCUGAGUUUAUCCACAAAACAGGAGCUGCAUGUGCAACGAUGGUGCAAGUUUUCCUCACCCUGUCCUAUUGAUGCACCUCAACUCUAAGCUAUAGGACCUGUCUCUAGGGAGACAGACUUAGUUCACUGGAGCCCUUAUGUGUGAUUCAGCUGCAGGAUUUG